Non-coding RNA from Misgurnus anguillicaudatus (oriental weatherfish), 486 nucleotides. The record is from the annotation of a RefSeq genome assembly. NCBI's taxonomy places the organism in Eukaryota, Metazoa, Chordata, Actinopteri, Cypriniformes, Cobitidae.
CUCAGCUCAUCUCUAAUCAUGUUUAACUCAUAUCUGCUUUUGCUGCUGUCUGCAGCGAUGUCUUGUGUUCACUGUGUUGAACUGACUCAGCCUGCAUCCAUUAAUCUGAGGUCUGAUCAGACUUUGACUCUGUCCUGUAAGGUGUCUGGAUAUUCAUUGACUGAUGGCAGCUACUGCACUCACUAUAUACGACAGACUGCUGGAAAACCUCUGGAAUGGAUUGGAAGGAUUUGUAGCAGCGCUGACACAUAUUACAAUGAUAAACUGAAAAAUAAAUUUCAAGUUACAAGAGACACUUCCAGCAGCACAGUGACUCUACAAGGACAGAAUAUGAGGACUGAGGACACAGCUGUGUAUUACUGUGCACGAGAGAGCACACUGAUGUAAACCACAAGCACUUCUGUUCAAAAACACAAUGAGAAACACAACCCAAAAUUCCAAGUGAAACAAAAAUGCAUUUAAGUUAAUUUAUAAAUUCGAAAGGUU